GCAAGUCGAACGAAGUAGCAAUACUUAGUGGCAGACGGGUGAGUAACAUGUGGGUAUCUACCCUUUGGCCUGGAAUAACACGAGGAAACUUGUGCUAAUACUGGAUAAGUCCUUACGGAGAAAGCUUUAUGCACCAUUGGAUGAGCCUGCGCUUGAUUAGUUUGUUGGUGGGGUAAUGGCCUACCAAGACUUUGAUCAAUAGCCGAUUUGAGAGGAUGAUCAGCCACAUUGGGACUGAGACACGGCCCAAACUCCUACGGGAGGCAGCAGUGGGGAAUCUUGCACAAUGGAGGAAACUCUGAUGCAGCGAUGCCGCGUGAGUGAAGAAGGCCCUUGGGUUGUAAAGCUCUUUCGUCGGGGAAGAAAAUGACUGUACCCGAAUAAGAAGGUCCGGCUAACUUCGUGCCAGCAGCCGCGGUAAUACGAAGGGACCUAGCGUAGUUCGGAAUUACUGGGCUUAAAGAGUUCGUAGGUGGUUGAAAAAGUUGGUGGUGAAAUCCCAGAGCUUAACUCUGGAACUGCCAUCAAAACUUUUCAGCUAGAGUUUGAUAGAGGAAAGCAGAAUUUCUAGUGUAGAGGUGAAAUUCGUAGAUAUUAGAAAGAAUACCAAUUGCGAAGGCAGCUUUCUGGAUCAUUACUGACACUGAGGAACGAAAGCAUGGGUAGCGAAGAGGAUUAAAUACCCUCGUAGUCCAUGCCGUAAACGAUGUGUGUUAAAACGUGGAAAUUUAUUUUCAGUGUCGCAGCGAAAGCGAUAA
Molecule: ribosomal RNA, 758 nt
Filed under: uncultured marine bacterium
Lineage: Bacteria
Description: bacterial SSU rRNA
Rfam family: Bacterial small subunit ribosomal RNA
Source: RNAcentral